Molecule: ribosomal RNA, 507 nt
Filed under: uncultured bacterium
Lineage: Bacteria
Description: partial 16S ribosomal RNA
Rfam family: Bacterial small subunit ribosomal RNA
Source: RNAcentral
GACGAACGCUGGCGGCGUGCCUAAUACAUGCAAGUCGAACGCAUUUUCUUUCACCGUAGCUUGCUACACCGAAAGAAAAUGAGUGGCGAACGGGUGAGUAACACGUGGGUAACCUGCCCAUCAGCGGGGGAUAACACUUGGAAACAGGUGCUAAUACCGCAUAAUUCCAUUUACCGCAUGGUAGAUGGAUGAAAGGCGCUUUUGCGUCACUGAUGGAUGGACCCGCGGUGCAUUAGCUAGUUGGUGGGGUAACGGCCUACCAAGGCUGCGAUGCAUAGCCGACCUGAGAGGGUGAUCGGCCACACUGGGACUGAGACACGGCCCAGACUCCUACGGGAGGCAGCAGUAGGGAAUCUUCGGCGAUGGACGCAAGUCUGACCGAGCAACGCCGCGUGAGUGAAGAAGGUUUUCGGAUCGUAAAACUCUGUUGUUAGAGAAGAACAAGGAUGAGAGUGGAAAGUUCAUCCCUUGACGGUAUCUAACCAGAAAGCCACGGCUAACUACGUG